ACGGAAGGCAGCAGCUAGGAAUAUUCCGCAAUGGACGAAAGUCUGACGGAGCGACGCCGCGUGGAUGAUGAAGGCCGGAAGGUUGUAAAAUCCUUUUGAAUGAGACGAAUAAGCAGGUCAGGGAAUGGGUUUGUGGUGACGGUAUCAUUUGAAUAAGCAACGGCUAAUUACGUGCCAGCAGCCGCGGUAACACGUAAGUUGCGAGCGUUGUUCGGAAUUAUUGGGCGUAAAGGGCAUGUAGGCGGUUCUGCAAGCUUGGUGUGAAAUCCCGGAGCUUAACUCCGGAACUGCAUCGAGAACUGCAGGACUAGAAUUACUGAAGGGUAACUGGAAUUCCAAGUGUAGGGGUGAAAUCUGUAGAUAUUUGGAAGAACACCAAUGGCGAAGGCAAGUUGCUGGCAGAUAAUUGACGCUGAGGUGCGAAGGUGCGGGGAGCAAACAGGAUUAGAUACCCUGGUA
Molecule: ribosomal RNA, 459 nt
Filed under: uncultured Treponema sp.
Lineage: Bacteria; Pseudomonadati; Spirochaetota; Spirochaetia; Treponematales; Treponemataceae
Description: partial 16S ribosomal RNA
Rfam family: Bacterial small subunit ribosomal RNA
Source: RNAcentral